UAAAAAAGGCGGCACUCUUCUGGCAUUAUUUCUCCUAAUUUCUUAGCACCUGCAGUUAUCUAAAGCGGCACCUCCUUGAUGUUGUGAAGAAUUAUUAUGAGAUGGGUGCUCUUGCGACGGAAGAUCCAAGCGUUUCUCUCUGCAAAAAAACUAUUUUUAAACACGGUAUAGAGGGCAGACACUCAUACAUACACACAUACACUCAUCAUUAUGAAUGCACGCAUGCAUAUCCUGCCCCUCAAGAGUCAAGAUUAUCCUGCAUGAAAAGAAGGUCAAGAUUAUCCUUAUAAAACCGAUUCCGUCUUUAAACAAAGGAUUAGCCACAACACAUUGCCCCACCAAUCAUCCUAAUGGCGACGCCGCACGUCCUUCCGCUGGUUCGGUCGUCAGCCAAUCUCCUCCAGACCCGGCAAAACGACAGCACCAGGUCAAAUCAAGGCCUCCACGCAUCCGGAUCAAGCAGCAAUUAUAUAUGAUCCCGAUCCAUCGUCUAAUCAUCCGUACGUCGCCACGUGCCCACCCUCCAAAAUUAAGGCGCG
RNAcentral lists this long non-coding RNA (539 nucleotides) under Triticum aestivum (bread wheat). RNAcentral describes it as "long non-coding RNA (TAES_LNC000592)". The record is from RNAcentral. Lineage: Eukaryota; Viridiplantae; Streptophyta; Magnoliopsida; Poales; Poaceae.